RNAcentral lists this ribosomal RNA (1323 nucleotides) under Haemophilus influenzae. RNAcentral describes it as "bacterial LSU rRNA". It matches the Rfam family "Bacterial large subunit ribosomal RNA", at positions 1268 to 2575 of the family's 2925-position model. Lineage: Bacteria; Pseudomonadati; Pseudomonadota; Gammaproteobacteria; Pasteurellales; Pasteurellaceae. The record is from RNAcentral.
GUGGGCUGGACGUAUCACAAGUGCGAAUGCUGACAUAAGUAACGAUAAAACGGGUGAAAAACCCGUUCGCCGGAAGACCAAGGGUUCCUGUCCAACGUUAAUCGGGGCAGGGUGAGUCGGCUCCUAAGGCGAGGCUGAAAAGCGUAGUCGAUGGGAAACAGGUUAAUAUUCCUGUACUUGGUAAAGCUGCGAUGUGGGGACGGAGUAGGUUAGGUUAUCGCACUGUUGGAUAUGUGCGUUUAAGUUGGUAGGUGGGAAGUUUAGGCAAAUCCGGACUUCCUUAACACAGAGAGAUGAUGACGAGGCUCUACGGAGCUGAAGUAACUGAUACCACACUUCCAGGAAAAGCCACUAAGCGAAAGGCUUUACUAAACCGUACUGAAAACCGACACAGGUGGUCAGGUAGAGAAUACUCAGGCGCUUGAGAGAACUCGGGUGAAGGAACUAGGCAAAAUAGCACCGUAACUUCGGGAGAAGGUGCGCCGGCGUAGAUUGUAAGGGCUAGCCCCUGAAGGUUGAACCGGUCGAAGAUACCAGCUGGCUGCAACUGUUUAUUAAAAACACAGCACUCUGCAAACACGAAAGUGGACGUAUAGGGUGUGAUGCCUGCCCGGUGCUGGAAGGUUAAUUGAUGGUGUCAUCGCAAGAGAAGCACCUGAUCGAAGCCCCAGUAAACGGCGGCCGUAACUAUAACGGUCCUAAGGUAGCGAAAUUCCUUGUCGGGUAAGUUCCGACCUGCACGAAUGGCAUAAUGAUGGCCAGGCUGUCUCCACCCGAGACUCAGUGAAAUUGAAAUCGCCGUGAAGAUGCGGUGUACCCGCGGCUAGACGGAAAGACCCCGUGAACCUUUACUAUAGCUUGACACUGAACAUUGAAUUUUGAUGUGUAGGAUAGGUGGGAGACUUAGAAGUAGGAACGCCAGUUUCUAUGGAGUCAUCCUUGAAAUACCACCCUUUAACGUUUGAUGUUCUAACGAAGAUGACGAAACGUGGUCUCGGACAGUGUCUGGUGGGUAGUUUGACUGGGGCGGUCUCCUCCCAAAGCGUAACGGAGGAGCACGAAGGUUUGCUAAUCACGGUCGGACAUCGUGAGGUUAGUGCAAUGGUAUAAGCAAGCUUAACUGCGAGACAGACAAGUCGAGCAGGUACGAAAGUAGGUCAUAGUGAUCCGGUGGUUCUGAAUGGAAGGGCCAUCGCUCAACGGAUAAAAGGUACUCCGGGGAUAACAGGCUGAUACCGCCCAAGAGUUCAUAUCGACGGCGGUGUUUGGCACCUCGAUGUCGGCUCAUCACAUCCUGGGGCUGAAGUAGGUCCCAAGGGUAUG